Molecule: ribosomal RNA, 250 nt
Filed under: uncultured bacterium
Lineage: Bacteria
Description: partial 16S ribosomal RNA
Rfam family: Bacterial small subunit ribosomal RNA
Source: RNAcentral
GCAAGUCGAACGAAAUUUUCCUUUCGGGGAAGAGAAAGUGGCAAACGGGUGCGUAACACGUGAGUAACCUGCCUUUAAGUGGGGGAUAGCCCGUCGAAAGACGGAUUAAUACCGCAUAUGGUCCAAGAACACAUGUUUUUGGUACUAAAGCUUGUAACGGCGCUUAAAGAGGGACUCGCGGCCUAUCAGCUUGUUGGUGAGGUAAUAGCUCACCAAGGCAUAGACGGGUAGCCGGUCUGAGAGGAUGGUC